GAGUUUGAUCCUGGCUCAGGACGAACGCUGGCGGAGUGCUUAACACAUGCAAGUCGAACGAGGUCCAAGGAGCUUGCUCCUGAAGACCUAGCGGCGAACGGGUGAGUAACACGUGAAGAACCUGUCCCGAAGAGGGGGAUAACAGUGGGAAACCACUGCUAAUACCUCAUACCUUUUUCUUUUCGCAUGGAGAGAUAAAGAAAUGAAUUUCGCUUCGGGAGGGCUUCGUGGGAUAUCAGCUUGAUGGUGGGGUAACGGCCCACCAUGGCUACGACGUCUAGCUGGUCUGAGAGGACGACCAGUCACACUGGGACUGAGACACGGCCCAGACUCCUACGGGAGGCAGCAGUGGGGAAUCUUGCGCAAUGGGCGAAAGCCUGACGCAGCAACUCCGCGUGUGGGAUGACGGCCCUCGGGUUGUAAACCACUUUCAGCAGGAACGAUAAUGACGGUACCUGCAGAAGAAGCACCGGCCAACUACGUGCCAGCCGCCGCGGUAAC
Molecule: ribosomal RNA, 501 nt
Filed under: uncultured Actinomycetes bacterium
Lineage: Bacteria; Bacillati; Actinomycetota; Actinomycetes
Description: bacterial SSU rRNA
Rfam family: Bacterial small subunit ribosomal RNA
Source: RNAcentral